GACGAACGCUGGCGGCGUGCUUAACACAUGCAAGUCGAGCGGUAAGGCCCUUUCGGGGGUACACGAGGCGGCGAACGGGUGAGUAACACGUGGGUGACCUGCCUUUAGCACUGGGAUAAGCCUGGGAAACCGGGUCUAAUACCGGAUAUGACUCCGCGGCGCAUGUUGUGGGGUGGAAAGCCUUGUGCGGCUGGAGAUGGGCCCGCGGCCUAUCAG
RNAcentral lists this ribosomal RNA (216 nucleotides) under uncultured bacterium. RNAcentral describes it as "partial 16S ribosomal RNA". It matches the Rfam family "Bacterial small subunit ribosomal RNA", at positions 28 to 244 of the family's 1533-position model. The record is from RNAcentral.